Molecule: ribosomal RNA, 424 nt
Filed under: uncultured bacterium
Lineage: Bacteria
Description: bacterial SSU rRNA
Rfam family: Bacterial small subunit ribosomal RNA
Source: RNAcentral
GCUAGGAAUCUUGGGAAUGGGCGAAAGCCUGACCCAGCAACGCCGCGUGGGCGAUGAAGGCCUUCGGGUCGUAAAGCCCUUUUGCAGGGGACGAUGAUGACGGUACCUUGCGAAUAAGCCACGGCUAACUACGUGCCAGCAGCCGCGGUAAUACGUAGGUGGCAAGCGUUGUCCGGAUUUACUGGGCGUAAAGGGCGUGCAGGCGGUUUGUUAAGUGCAGGGUGAAAGCUCCCGGCUCAACUGGGAGAGGUCCUUGCAUACUGGCAAACUCGAGGGAGGCAGAGGAAAGUGGAAUUCCCGGUGUAGUGGUGAUAUGCGUAGAUAUCGGGAGGAACACCUGUGGCGAAGGCGGCUUUCUGGGCCUUACCUGACGCUGAGACGCGAAAGCGUGGGGAGCGAACCGGAUUAGAUACCCGGGUAGUCC